Molecule: long non-coding RNA, 1156 nt
Filed under: Panax ginseng (ginseng)
Lineage: Eukaryota; Viridiplantae; Streptophyta; Magnoliopsida; Apiales; Araliaceae
Description: long non-coding RNA (PGIN_LNC006792)
Source: RNAcentral
UCCUAUUCCUCAUGUGAGGGAGAAGGGGAAGCAGGGUUUGUUCUCUUUCUGCACAUCUGUUUGUGUUGAUUCUUGAGAAUUCUUGGUACAUUGUUUGGUCACAGCUGUAAUUGCACUUUAUUGGAAGUUUUGGUAUCUUGUAGAUACUUGUGUGCAAAAUGAGCAUUUUCAGAUAAAGACUUUGAGCUCAAGAGAAUGAAGGAUAUGAUUAGUUCUACUUGCAUUAUGUUGGGUUUUCCCUUGAAUUAACUUCUCUGAGAUCCAGUGUGGGGUAUGGCCAUUUUCAUAAGCACUUCUACUUUACUUCGCUUCGAAUGCAAGUGUAUGUAAAUAUGUUUUUUUUUCAAUGAUUUUAUUUCUUUAUUAUUUGUUACCCACUUUUGUGAUAUCAAAUUUCAUCAAUGUCUGCUACUUCUUUUUGUAUGGUUUGAGUAUGGUGGGAUCAAGAUUAGUGUGUCAAGGUUUCUGUGAUCUCCAGCUUUUGAGUAUUAGUAGGGUCUAUUUGCAUUUUGCUAACAGUGUCUGCUCUCUGAGUACAAAAUCCUUGAACUGUUGAAUCAAGUAUUUGCCGAAAUAUUUUAAUCUGAUAACGCUAUUUCUUCUCUAAUUUGGGCAAAAUGGGUAUUGCUUUUUAUGGUUGCAGAUUUUGACUUGCAUCUGAAUUAUCAAUUAUGUACCGGCAUUAUUAUAUAGCAUUAUUCCUGAAGAUCAUGUUUAAACUUGCGAAUUUCUUUUGUUUGCCUUCUUCCAACUACUUUAUCCAUCUAAGUAUUUGUAAAUAUAAAAUGGGCAUUUCAUGAAUAUGUUAUCAGUAAUUACAUAAUACAGGAACUGUGAGUCUGUGAUACUGCUUUGCUUCCUUGAUUUGUUUUGGCAUGAAAUUUAUGUGAUGUUUCGACCUUUUAUACCUUUUACUUUUAAAGAUCGCAAAAAUUUGUCAAAUAAAUGCUUUCAGUUUGAGUUUAUUAAGAAUUGUACCUAUGUGAUUGACUAUGUAUCUUGAGUUCCUCUCCUUAUCAGAUGUGAAGUUCAAUUUUAACGUGUUAGAUGGUUAACAUUUGCUUCCUGUUUUCCUUGUUUCUUGUAGAUUUCAGAUCUAUAAACGAGACUGGGAAUGGAUCUGGAAUUUGACAAAUAUUGCGUAGUAGAUGGAAGU